AUUGAACGCUGGCGGCAGGCCUAACACAUGCAAGUCGAACGGUAACAGGGAUCAGCUUGCUGAUUCGCUGACGAGUGGCGGACGGGUGAGUAAUGUCUGGGAAACUUCCUGAUGGAGGGGGAUAACUACUGGAAACGGUAGCUAAUACCGCAUAACGUCGCAAGACCAAAGAGGGGGACCUUCGGGCCUCUUGCCAUCGGAUGUGCCCAGAUGGGAUUAGCUAGUAGGUGGGGUAACGGCUCACCUAGGCGACGAUCCCUAGCUGGUCUGAGAGGAUGACCAGCCACACUGGAACUGAGACACGGUCCAGACUCCUACGGGAGGCAGCAGUGGGGAAUAUUGCACAAUGGGCGCAAGCCUGAUGCAGCCAUGCCGCGUGUAUGAAGAAGGCCUUCGGGUUGUAAAGUACUUUCAGCGGGGAGGAAGGGAGUAAAGUUAAUACCUUUGCUCAUUGACGUUACCCGCAGAAGAAGCACCGGCUAACUCCGUG
This 490-nucleotide ribosomal RNA is filed under the name uncultured bacterium. RNAcentral describes it as "partial 16S ribosomal RNA". It matches the Rfam family "Bacterial small subunit ribosomal RNA", at positions 30 to 507 of the family's 1533-position model. The record is from RNAcentral.